RNAcentral lists this ribosomal RNA (127 nucleotides) under uncultured bacterium. RNAcentral describes it as "partial 16S ribosomal RNA". The record is from RNAcentral.
ACGUCACAGCUGCACGCUAUUAACGUACAACCUUUCUUCCCAAUUGAAAGUGCUUUACAACCCUAAGGCCUUCUUCACACACGCGGCAUGGCUGCGUCAGGGUUUCCCCCAUUGCGCAAUAUUCCCC